GAUGAACGCUGGCGGCGUGCCUAAUACAUGCAAGUCGAGCGAACAGACGAGGAGCUUGCUCCUCUGACGUUAGCGGCGGACGGGUGAGUAACACGUGGAUAACCUACCUAUAAGACUGGGAUAACUUCGGGAAACCGGAGCUAAUACCGGAUAAUAUAUUGAACCGCAUGGUUCAAUAGUGAAAGACGGUUUUGCUGUCACUUAUAGAUGGAUCCGCGCCGCAUUAGCUAGUUGGUAAGGUAACGGCUUACCACGGCAACGAUGCGUAGCCGACCUGAGAGGGUGAUCGGCCACACGGGAACUGAGACACGGUCCAGACUCCUACGGGAGGCAGCAGUAGGGAAUCUUCCGCAAUGGGCGAAAGCCUGACGGAGCAACGCCGCGUGAGUGAUGAAGGUCUUCGGAUCGUAAAACUCUGUUAUGAGGGAAGAACAAAUGUGUAAGUAACUAUGCACGUCUUGACGGUACCUAAUCAGAAAGCCACGGCUAACUACGUG
Molecule: ribosomal RNA, 497 nt
Filed under: uncultured bacterium
Lineage: Bacteria
Description: partial 16S ribosomal RNA
Rfam family: Bacterial small subunit ribosomal RNA
Source: RNAcentral